RNAcentral lists this ribosomal RNA (301 nucleotides) under uncultured bacterium. RNAcentral's name for it is "bacterial SSU rRNA". It matches the Rfam family "Bacterial small subunit ribosomal RNA", at positions 337 to 630 of the family's 1533-position model. The record is from RNAcentral.
GCCUACGGGAGGCAGCAGUGGGGAAUAUUGCGCAAUGGGCGAAAGCCUGACGCAGCGACGCCGCGUGAGGGAUGAAGGUCUUCGGAUCGUAAAUCUCUGUCUGCAGGGAAGAACGGUCACUGUGCUAAUCAGCAGUGAAUUGACGGUACCUGCAAAGGAAGCACCGGCUAACUCCGUGCCAGCAGCCGCGGUAAUACGGAGGGUGGGAGCGUUAAUCGGAAUUACUGGGCGUAAAGCGCUCGUAGGCGGUAUGUCAAGUCAAGGGUGAAAUCCACGCGCUCAACGUGGGAGCUGCCGUUGA